UUUUUUGUUCACGUUAAAGGAUUUUCCUUAAAAGGUUUCAGUUCUGCGAUGGAGUUUACAGAUGAGGAGAAAAUAUGGCUGCAAAGAGUGUCUGCUGAAAUACCUGAAGGGAAUGAUCUCACUCCAAAGGAGAAGCAAUUCUGUGAGAAAGCAAAGCCAGAGACUGAAUUUCAGGCCCAGUUAUUCCAGGCUAUGGCCUCUAUACGAUUUGGACUGAAUGAUCCAAUAAGCUCAACCAUAGCAUUGAAAAACGCUGUCCACCAGAGAAGCAGCGUCUCGUCACAAUGCGGAUAAUCACCAGAUACUAGGUUAUUAAACUGAAUAUUCAGAAUCAAAUAAUCAAAAAUAAAA
Long non-coding RNA from Rhinichthys klamathensis goyatoka, 351 nucleotides. RefSeq lists it as uncharacterized. The record is from RefSeq and is a predicted model, not a curated record. NCBI's taxonomy places the organism in Eukaryota, Metazoa, Chordata, Actinopteri, Cypriniformes, Leuciscidae. The transcript has 3 exons.